Molecule: long non-coding RNA, 3523 nt
Organism: Quercus robur (English oak)
Lineage: Eukaryota; Viridiplantae; Streptophyta; Magnoliopsida; Fagales; Fagaceae
Exons: 6
Source: RefSeq, a predicted model, not a curated record
CUUAUAAAAUCAAGCCGAGUUUCAGGGUACGGGUUAAAGCGGAAAGGACGCCUUUCGAAUCCAUUCACGAACGCACAAAACAAUUCCCCUCCACUCAUCACACCCAGACCCAGGCAAUUGUAACUUCACUUUUUUUAUUAUUUUAUAAGCACGAGGAGGUUCCUCAGAUGAAAAAUAAACAGGGACAACUGAAAUAGAGACCCAGGGCUUGGAGGUGGAGAAAAUUGGGUUUGGUGUGGUAUAAAAGCAAGACAUUGAAGAUCCCAAUCAAAAUAAGCGAAGCCCAUGAUGGGGAAUUCUUUUCUUCACUUCUUUUACCUGCUUAUCAAAGAGUUCGAUAGACAAGCCAAGGAUUUGGAGAGUAGAAUGAUCUAGAUGCUAACAAGAUGCAGAAUGAUAAAAAAAAAAAAGUCAAUGAUCAAAGAGUUGAAUUCAUAUGUUGCACUUAAAAAGCAUUCCUCAAGCGGGAUUUGGUUGGGCUUUGAAAGGCUUGUGCAAUUUGCUACAGGAAUAGAGAAUAUAAGAGGCACAAUCCCUUUCCCUCAAACGCCUGGUUCAGCUGAAUUUUAAUGGUGAAGUUGUGCAUUUUUUUUUUGGUUCUCUUAUUGUAGUCAACCACAGCAUCAUUUUUUUACCUGUCCUGCUCCUAAUCCUUAAGUAAAUUCAAUUUGAAUCACCUUCUCUGUUUAACACUUACGUGCAUCAAAACUUCAAACUAUAUAGGAAGGCUGCCAAAAAAAAGAAUAAAGAAAAAAAAGAAAAAAAGAAGAAGAAGAAGUAGAAGGACCAAUGCUUGGAUUAUCUUCUGGUUAAUGUUGCCUAAUAUGAAAAAUGUUGAUAAUUGUGAAGUGAUCAUAUAUUUAUUUGGAAGUUAUUAUAAUAGAUGCAAAUUAUUAACCUUUAUUCAAAAUAGAAGAGCCUCAGAGUUCAUGCACGUGCUUAGAGACUAGUUUUUUAUAAUUCGAUAGUUGUAACAAUGGGAAGAAGAAAUUCAAACUUUGGUUCUUAUGUGAAGAGUAGAUAACGCAACUGAAUUAUAAAACUCUUGUCAUAUCUUAUGCACUAUAAAUUCCAUGAUGAACAUAUAAUAAGAUUUUUUUUUCUUAACACAAGUGAAUAUGAGCACCCCCAACAUUGGUAAACAUGUUGGAAUUACAUGUUGGAGAUUUGCCUUGAGAAAUAAUGCAAACAAAUACUGCAUACACUGAUAUUCAUGCAAACAUUAACAAAGGAAAUAUUAUGGUAAUUCAUGCAAACAUUGACAAAGGAAAUUACUGUUGGAAUUUUUUUGCCAUUAGACAAAGAUAACCGCAGUAAAUGGCUAUAGCUAUUUGGUCAACAUACAUGCCUCAAAUCCCAUGGAAUAUCAAAUAUGGAUGGCUUUAAAUUCAAAAUGACUACUAAUCAUUCCAUUGAUCAACAGUGUAAUUUUUCAGUGGUACAAAAUCUUCUACGAGAAUAGCAAUUCUUUUCAACAAGCAAAUCCCUUUCUCUGUUUCUCAACUAAAAAACAAGGUGCAUGCCAACUUUUGUGGGAGAAUUUUUUGAAUCGGUGAUUUCACCAUAAAUAUAUCUAAGGAAAAAUGAUAGGACAAUUGUGAUUUUCACUUCUUGAAACUUAAGGGGUUGUUUGGUAAGAGAUUUCUAGUAAUGUUAUUGUUGUUUCAUAAAAAUACGUGUGGGUGGAAAAGUAUAUAGAAAUACAUAUAAUGUUUUUUACAUACUAAAAACUAUUUUUUAAACAAUAGUACCAAACACUCCCUAAAACUCAGGUCGUCCUCAAAAUAUGUUUAAAUUUGUUUGAAUAACAUGGGCAAUAAUAAAGUAUUCUUGGGUUUUGUGAGAUAGGUUGUAAUUGUGUUAAACUGAAUCAAGCUAAUUAAUAAAAUUCUAAGAUCAUUUAAUUUUCUAUCUUAUAUGGAACCCGAGUUGAGUUUGAGUUAAGAUUUAUUUAAUUCUUUAUUAAAUGAUGUAAACCAUUAUUGCUAGUCAAAAAGUUAUGUAAAAUAAAAACUUUUAUAGCUGGUCAAAAAGUAAUAUAAAAUUCACUUAAAAAGUUUACGAAAAGCAAUGUAAAAGAACUUUAUAAUGAAUGGGUCACAAUAUUCAGCAAAAAGAAAAAAAAAACUAGUCACAGAACAAUAUGAUAAGAAGUUGUUUGUCCUCUUUCAUUCUCUAACGAAGGUUUCUAGAAAAUUUCCUACAUGCGCGUGAUUUGCAACUUGCUCCUCAAACGUCAAAAGAAGGGUUGGAAAUUUCCUACACCUUGUCAAGCUUGUUUGUCCUCUCCCUCUCUCUGAGUGUUUGGUGGGGCAAAGAAUUGGAUUAGUUGGAAAUUUCCACAACUACAAUGUUCUCCUCAAAAGUUAUGCUAGUCUACUCUCUCUCAGUCUCUCUUUGAAAUUAACACAACACAAUGUUUGGUGGAUUGAGAUUCUUUGACAUUAGCACUGUUGAUUUAGGGGAAAAAAGAAGAGAUUCAGGUUAGAAAAUUUCACGUAACGUAGCAUCACUCUGCAGUUUGCUCCUCAAAAGUUAUGUCUGUCUUCCCCUCUCUAUCUCUCUCUUUGAAAUUAACACAAUAUUUUUGGAUGUUUUGAAAUUAACACAAUAUUUGUUGUGAGUAAUUGUUCUGUUAGGGUAUAGCUGAAGGAAAAUUGUUGUGUAGACUACUCUGAGCUCUCAUAUGUAGGGAUGACAAUUAAAUCCGACCCGCGGAUACCCGGCCUAACCCGACCCUAAUGGGCCAGAUUUUACUUGGCCCGAUAAAGAAUAGGGUCGGGUAUGGGUUUUUUUUAAAAAAAAAAAAAAAAAAAACCCUAAGCGGGUCCAGGUCGGGUUUGGAUUUUAUCAAAAAAAUCUGAAACCCGACCCAAAACCCGGCCCGAAUAUGACCCGAUUACCCUGAAAUUACAAAAAAACCCCUUAUAUAUAUAUAUAUAUAUAUAUAUAUAUCCCUAAGUCCCUAACCCAUCCACCUCUCAUAAUUUGAUCUCAUUUCACGCCUCAGCCUUACACCCUAACCCUCAAUCUCUUUGUCACUCAUGCAGCCACGCACAAGAGCACGUUUGGGUAAGGAUCGGUGGGUUUUGUCUCUCACUGUUUGGGUCAUUGGAUUAGUUUCUCAGUUCUCACCGUUUGAGAAUUAGUUAUGGAGUGAAAUCAACGGUUCUUCAACUAUGUUUGGAGAUUGUACACUUCAAUCAAUUCUUGAUGAUGGGGAGCCUAAUGAAGAGGAUGGGAGUUGUGUAACAAUUGUGAAGGAUUAGACAUUUUGUAUUAAUUUAGUAGCCUUUUUAAUUUCUUAGACUUGUUGGAUUAAUUUGUUGGUUUGUAAUUAUUCUAAGCCUUUUUAGCCUUUUGUAAUUUCUUAGCCUUUUUAAUUUGUUGGUUUGUGGAGGAUAAUACAUUUUGUAAUUUCUUAGCCUUUUUAAUUUCUUAGACUUGUGGGAUUUAUUUUGUAGCUUUUUAAUUUCUUGAACUUGUUGGACUUGUGAUAUUUAUUUCUUGGACUUAUUGGAUU